AAUUAGAGGCAUUGCCUGCCCAGUGACUAAAGUUAAACGGCCGCGGUAUCCUGACCGUGCAAAGGUAGCAUAAUCACUUGUUCCUUAAUUAGGGACUAGAAUGAAUGGCUAAACGAGGGUUCAACUGUCUCUUACUUUCAAUCAGUGAAAUUGACCUUCCAGUGAAGAGGCUGGAAUACUACAAUAAGACGAGAAGACCCUAUGGAGCUUUAAUUUACUAGUUUAAUUUAUAUAAUAACAACCUAAUGGACCAAGACAAAAUAAAUAUAAACUAAAAAUUUCGGUUGGGGUGACCUCGGAGAAUAGAAAAUCCUCCGAAUGAUUUUAACCUAGACCCACAAGUCAAAGUAAUAUUAAUAUCUUAUUGACCCAAUUAUUGAUCAACGGACCAAGUUACCCUAGGGAUAACAGCGCAAUCCUAUUUAAGAGUUCAUAUCGACAAUUAGGGUUUACGACCUCGAUGUUGGAUCAGGACAUCCCAAUGGUGCAGAAGCUAUUAAUGGUUCGUUUGUUCAACGAUUAAAGUCCUACGUGAUCUGAGU
This 542-nucleotide ribosomal RNA is filed under the name Rattus rattus kandianus. RNAcentral's name for it is "partial 16S ribosomal RNA". It matches the Rfam family "Bacterial large subunit ribosomal RNA", at positions 1844 to 2610 of the family's 2925-position model. The record is from RNAcentral. Lineage: Eukaryota; Metazoa; Chordata; Mammalia; Rodentia; Muridae.